UAGGGAAUCUUCGGCAAUGGGCGCAAGCCUGAUGGAGCAACACCGCGUGAGUGAAGAAGGGUUUCGGCUCGUAAAGCUCUGUUGUUAAAGAAGAACACGUAUGAGAGUAACUGUUCAUACGUUGACGGUAUUUAACCAGAAAGUCACGGCUAACUACGUGCUAG
RNAcentral lists this ribosomal RNA (164 nucleotides) under uncultured bacterium. RNAcentral's name for it is "partial 16S ribosomal RNA". It matches the Rfam family "Bacterial small subunit ribosomal RNA", at positions 355 to 511 of the family's 1533-position model. The record is from RNAcentral.